RNAcentral lists this ribosomal RNA (674 nucleotides) under Inocybe dulcamara. Its description in RNAcentral is "eukaryotic LSU rRNA". It matches the Rfam family "Eukaryotic large subunit ribosomal RNA", at positions 1 to 653 of the family's 3401-position model. The record is from RNAcentral. Lineage: Eukaryota; Fungi; Basidiomycota; Agaricomycetes; Agaricales; Inocybaceae. RNAcentral also lists the same sequence under 1 other name.
UUGAUCUCAAAUCAGGCAGGACUACCCGCUGAACUUAAGCAUAUCAAUAAGCGGAGGAAAAGAAACUAACAAGGAUUCCCCUAGUAACUGCGAGUGAAGCGGGAAAAGCUCAAAUUUAAAAUCUGACAGCUGUUCUGGCUGUCCGAGUUGUAAUCUAGAGAAGUGUUACCCGCGCUGGACCGUGUACAAGUCUCCUGGAAUGGAGCAUCAUAGAGGGUGAGAAUCCCGUCUUUGACAUGGACUACCAGGGCUUUGUGGUGCGCUCUCGAAGAGUCGAGUUGUUUGGGAAUGCAGCUCAAAAUGGGUGGUAAAUGCCAUCUAAAGCUAAAUAUUGGCGAGAGACCGAUAGCGAACAAGUACCGUGAGGGAAAGAUGAAAAGAACUUUGGAAAGAGAGUUAAACAGUACGUGAAAUUGCUGAAAGGGAAACGCUUGAAGUCAGUCGCAUCGACUGGAAAUCAACCUUGCUUUUGCUUGGUGUAUUUUCUGGCUUGAUGGGUCAGCAUCAAUUUUGAUCGCUGGAUAAAGGCUUGGGGAAUGUGGCAUCUUAGGAUGUGUUAUAGCCCUUGGUUGCAUACAGCGGUUGGGAUUGAGGAACUCAGCACGCCGCGAGGCCGGGUUUCGACCACGUUUACGUGCUUAGGAUGCUGGCAUAAUGGCUUUAAUCGACCCGUC